GUGUCAGCCGCCGCGGUAAUACGGAGGGUGCAAGCGUUAUCCGGAUUCACUGGGUUUAAAGGGUGCGUAGGUGGGUAUGUAAGUCAGUGGUGAAAUCCCCGAGCUUAACUUGGGAACUGCCGUUGAUACUAUAUAUCUUGAAUGUCGUAGAGGUAAGCGGAAUAUGUCAUGUAGCGGUGAAAUGCUUAGAGAUGACAUAGAACACCAAUUGCGAAGGCAGCUUACUAUGCGAAUAUUGACACUGAGGCACGAAAGCGUGGGUAGCAAACAGGAUUAGAAACCCCCGUAGUCC
RNAcentral lists this ribosomal RNA (292 nucleotides) under uncultured bacterium. RNAcentral's name for it is "partial 16S ribosomal RNA". It matches the Rfam family "Bacterial small subunit ribosomal RNA", at positions 505 to 796 of the family's 1533-position model. The record is from RNAcentral.